CAAAAUAUAUUAAGCCCAUGUGUUAUAAUUAAUUAGAACUAUUCUAAAUUAAUUACUGAAUUAAGCUCUUUAAUUUGUAAGAACCUACAAGUAAAGAUUGAUGUCUAGCAAUGUGUCAUAACUAUCCAAAAGAUGUAGAAUUUUGAUAGAAUAUCAAAACAUCAUUUUGUGGUGAGUUACGAUGUAAUUUAAUCCUUCGAUCACACAGUAUCCCAAAUAAGCCAUGGGCAUGAAAUUAUGUCAAUUCUAAAUAUCUAUCUAUAUGUAU
This 268-nucleotide long non-coding RNA is filed under the name Elaeis guineensis (African oil palm). Its description in RNAcentral is "long non-coding RNA (EGUI_LNC082798)". The record is from RNAcentral. Lineage: Eukaryota; Viridiplantae; Streptophyta; Magnoliopsida; Arecales; Arecaceae.